This 330-nucleotide long non-coding RNA is filed under the name Lathyrus oleraceus (garden pea). RNAcentral describes it as "Pisum sativum (pea) long non-coding RNA (PSAT_LNC026801)". Lineage: Eukaryota; Viridiplantae; Streptophyta; Magnoliopsida; Fabales; Fabaceae. The record is from RNAcentral.
GUAAAGGUAAAAAUGGUAGAAAAAUAGGUUAUACAAAAAUAAAAUAUUCUUUUUAUAUAUUGUUAUAAAUAUAUGAGACUAUAGGGUAGGGUUUUUAUCUUAGAUGUGGGAAUAGCAUAAGCUGACUAACAAAUGAGCAUUUAAUUUGCCACCUCCAUUUGAACCGACACCCUCCAUAGUUUCAAAAUUUCAAAACUAUCAAAAAUUUAGAACAAAUUUUCGUAAGAAAUUUCUGUUACUCUAAACUUUUAGUAGUAGUGUAUUUAUAAUUUUCGGUAUACUAGAAUUUAUGUUGAACUUUAAAAUAUUAUCGAAAAUUCUAAAUGUUUU